Molecule: ribosomal RNA, 460 nt
Filed under: uncultured bacterium
Lineage: Bacteria
Description: partial 16S ribosomal RNA
Rfam family: Bacterial small subunit ribosomal RNA
Source: RNAcentral
CCUACGGGGGGCAGCAGUGAGGAAUAUUGGUCAAUGGACGAGAGUCUGAACCAGCCAAGUAGCGUGAAGGAUGACUGCCCUAUGGGUUGUAAACUUCUUUUAUAUGGGAAUAAAAUGUUCCACGUGUGGGAUUUUGUAUGUACCAUAUGAAUAAGGAUCGGCUAACUCCGUGCCAGCAGCCGCGGUAAUACGGAGGAUCCGAGCGUUAUCCGGAUUUAUUGGGUUUAAAGGGAGCGUAGGUGGAUUGUUAAGUCAGUUGUGAAAGUUUGCGGCUCAACCGUAAAAUUGCAGUUGAAACUGGCAGUCUUGAGUACAGUAGAGGUGGGCGGAAUUCGUGGUGUAGCGGUGAAAUGCUUAGAUAUCACGAAGAACUCCGAUUGCGAAGGCAGUUCACUGGACUGCAACUGACACUGAGGCUCGAAAGUGUUGGUAUCAAACAGGAUUAGAUACCCCUGUAGUC